AGUCGAACGAUGAUGCCCAGCUUGCUGGGUGGAUUAGUGGCGAACGGGUGAGUAACACGUGAGUAACCUGCCCCUGACUCUGGGAUAAGCGUUGGAAACGACGUCUAAUACUGGAUAUGAUCACUGGCCGCAUGGUCUGGUGGUGGAAAGAUUUUUUGGUUGGGGAUGGACUCGCGGCCUAUCAGCUUGUUGGUGAGGUAAUGGCUCACCAAGGCGACGACGGGUAGCCGGCCUGAGAGGGUGACCGGCCACACUGGGACUGAGACACGGCCCAGACUCCUACGGGAGGCAGCAGUGGGGAAUAUUGCACAAUGGGCGAAAGCCUGAUGCAGCAACGCCGCGUGAGGGAUGACGGCCUUCGGGUUGUAAACCUCUUUUAGUAGGGAAGAAGCGAAAGUGACGGUACCUGCAGAAAAAGCACCGGCUAACUACGUGCCAGCAGCCGCGGUAAUACGUAGGGUGCAAGCGUUGUCCGGAAUUAUUGGGCGUAAAGAGCUCGUAGGCGGUUUGUCGCGUCUGCUGUGAAAUCCCGAGGCUCAACCUCGGGCUUGCAGUGGGUACGGGCAGACUAGAGUGCGGUAGGGGAGAUUGGAAUUCCUGGUGUAGCGGUGGAAUGCGCAGAUAUCAGGAGGAACACCGAUGGCGAAGGCAGAUCUCUGGGCCGUAACUGACGCUGAGGAGCGAAAGCAUGGGGAGCGAACAGGAUUAGAUACCCUGGUAGUCCAUGCCGUAAACGUUGGGCGCUAGAUGUAGGGACCUUUCCACGGUUUCUGUGUCGUAGCUAACGCAUUAAGCGCCCCGCCUGGGGAGUACGGCCGCAAGGCUAAAACUCAAAGGAAUUGACGGGGGCCCGCACAAGCGGCGGAGCAUGCGGAUUAAUUCGAUGCAACGCGAAGAACCUUACCAAGGCUUGACAUACACCGGAAACGGCCAGAGAUGGUCGCCCCCUUGUGGUCGGUGUACAGGUGGUGCAUGGUUGUCGUCAGCUCGUGUCGUGAGAUGUUGGGUUAAGUCCCGCAACGAGCGCAACCCUCGUUCUAUGUUGCCAGCGGGUUAUGCCGGGGACUCAUAGGAGACUGCCGGGGUCAACUCGGAGGAAGGUGGGGAUGACGUCAAAUCAUCAUGCCCCUUAUGUCUUGGGCUUCACGCAUGCUACAAUGGCCGGUACAAAGGGCUGCGAUACCGUAAGGUGGAGCGAAUCCCAAAAAGCCGGUCUCAGUUCGGAUUGAGGUCUGCAACUCGACCUCAUGAAGUCGGAGUCGCUAGUAAUCGCAGAUCAGCAACGCUGCGGUGAAUACGUUCCCGGGCCUUGUACACACCGCCCGUCAAGUCAUGAAAGUCGGUAACACCCGAAGCCGGUGGCCUAACCCUUGUGGAAG
RNAcentral lists this ribosomal RNA (1379 nucleotides) under Curtobacterium flaccumfaciens. RNAcentral describes it as "16S ribosomal RNA". It matches the Rfam family "Bacterial small subunit ribosomal RNA". The record is from RNAcentral. Lineage: Bacteria; Bacillati; Actinomycetota; Actinomycetes; Micrococcales; Microbacteriaceae.